GUCAUAUGCUUGUCUCAAAGAUUAAGCCAUGCAUGUCUCAGUACAAGCCAAAUUAAGGUGAAACCGCGAAAGGCUCAUUAAAUCAGUUAUGGUUCCUUAGAUCGUACCCACAAUUACUUGGAUAACUGUGGUAAUUCUAGAGCUAAUACAUGCAAACAGAGCUCCGACCGGAGACGGAAGGAGUGCUUUUAUUAGAUCAAAACCAAUCGGUGGCGGGUUCGCUCGUCAUCGUACAACUUGGUGACUCUGAAUAACUUUACGCUGAUCGCACGGUCAUCGCACCGGCGACGCAUCUUUCAAAUGUCUGCCUUAUCAACUGUCGAUGGUAGGUUCUGCGCCUACCAUGGUUGUAACGGGUAACGGGGAAUCAGGGUUCGAUUCCGGAGAGGGAGCCUGAGAAACGGCUACCACAUCCAAGGAAGGCAGCAGGCGCGCAAAUUACCCACUCCCGGCACGGGGAGGUAGUGACGAAAAAUAACGAUACGGGACUCAUCCGAGGCCCCGUAAUCGGAAUGAGUACACUCUAAACCCUUUAACGAGGAUCAAUUGGAGGGCAAGUCUGGUGCCAGCAGCCGCGGUAAUUCCAGCUCCAAUAGCGUAUAUUAAAGUUGUUGCGGUUAAAAAGCUCGUAGUCGAAUUUGUGUCUCGCGCCGCCGGUUCAUCGUCCGCGGUGUUAACUGGCGAGUCGCGAGACGUCCUGCCGGUGGGCUUAGCUCGCGAGGGCGGCCCAACUCAAUCCUGCCGCGGUGCUCUUCAUUGAGUGUCGAGGUGGGCCGGCACGUUUACUUUGAACAAAUUAGAGUGCUUAAAGCAGGCUAAAACUUCGCCUGAAUACUGUGUGCAUGGAAUAAUGGAAUAGGACCUCGGUUCUAUUUUGUUGGUUUUCGGAACCCCGAGGUAAUGAUUAAUAGGAACGGAUGGGGGCAUUCGUAUUGCGACGUUAAAGGUGAAAUUCUUGGAUCGUCGC
This 967-nucleotide ribosomal RNA is filed under the name Trigonopterus sp. 103 AR-2022a. RNAcentral describes it as "SSU rRNA". It matches the Rfam family "Eukaryotic small subunit ribosomal RNA", at positions 23 to 931 of the family's 1831-position model. Lineage: Eukaryota; Metazoa; Arthropoda; Insecta; Coleoptera; Curculionidae. The record is from RNAcentral.